Molecule: unclassified non-coding RNA, 384 nt
Filed under: uncultured bacterium
Lineage: Bacteria
Description: contains 16S-23S intergenic spacer region
Source: RNAcentral
UCCAGCUCAUCGCCGGCAGUCUCUGCUGAGUGCUUGGCAGCUUACGCCACCAGUGGCAACAGCGGACGUGGGUUGCGCUCGUUGCGGGACUUAACCCAACACUUCACAGCACGAGCUGACGACAGCCAUGCACCACCUGUGAUCGAGUCCCGAAGGAGGGCCGUAUUUCUACGGCUUUCCCGACCAUGUCAAGCCUUGGUAAGGUUCUUCGCGUCGCGUCGAAUUAAACCACAUGCUCCGCUGCUUGUGCGGGCCCCCGUCAAUUCCUUUGAGUUUCAACCUUGCGGCCGUACUCCCCAGGCGGCACAUUUAAUGCGUUUGCGUCGACACGGAGGGGGUCGAUACCCCCCACGUCUAAUGUGCAUCGUUUACGGCUAGGACUAC